CAGCUAGAAUAGGAAAUGAUUUUAGUUUGACGGUACCAUACCAGAAAGGGACGGCUAAAUACGUGCCAGCAGCCGCGGUAAUACGUAUGUCCCGAGCGUUAUCCGGAUUUAUUGGGCGUAAAGCGAGCGCAGACGGUUUAUUAAGUCUGAUGUGAAAGCCCGGAGCUCAACUCCGGAAUGGCAUUGGAAACUGGUUAACUUGAGUGCAGUAGAGGUAAGUGGAACUCCAUGUGUAGCGGUGGAAUGCGUAGAUAUAUGGAAGAACACCAGUGGCGAAGGCGGCUUACUGGACUGCAACUGACGUUGAGGCUCGAAAGUGUGGGUAGCAAACAGGAUUAGAUACCCUGGUAGUCCACACCGUAAACGAUGAACACUAGGUGUUAGGAGGUUUCCGCCUCUUAGUGCCGAAGCUAACGCAUUAAGUGUUCCGCCUGGGGAGUACGACCGCAAGGUUGAAACUCAAAGGAAUUGACGGGGACCCGCACAAGCGGUGGAGCAUGUGGUUUAAUUCGAAGCAACGCGAAGAACCUUACCAGGUCUUGACAUCCUUUGAAGCUUUUAGAGAUAGAAGUGUUCUCUUCGGAGACAAAGUGACAGGUGGUGCAUGGUCGUCGUCAGCUCGUGUCGUGAGAUGUUGGGUUAAGUCCCGCAACGAGCGCAACCCUUAUUGUUAGUUGCCAGCAUUCAGAUGGGCACUCUAGCGAGACUGCCGGUGACAAACCGGAGGAAGGCGGGGACGACGUCAGAUCAUCAUGCCCCUUAUGACCUGGGCUACACACGUGCUACAAUGGCGUAUACAACGAGUUGCCAACCCGCGAGGGUGAGCUAAUCUCUUAAAGUACGUCUCAGUUCGGAUUGUAGUCUGCAACUCGACUACAUGAAGUCGGAAUCGCUAGUAAUCGCGGAUCAGCACGCCGCGGUGAAUACGUUCCCGGGUCUUGUACACACCGCCCGUCACACCAUGGGAGUUUGUAAUGCCCAAAGCCGGUGGCCUAACCUUUAGGAAGGAGCCGUCUAAGCAUGACAGUACGGCUC
RNAcentral lists this ribosomal RNA (1035 nucleotides) under Leuconostoc mesenteroides. RNAcentral describes it as "bacterial SSU rRNA". It matches the Rfam family "Bacterial small subunit ribosomal RNA", at positions 445 to 1477 of the family's 1533-position model. The record is from RNAcentral. Lineage: Bacteria; Bacillati; Bacillota; Bacilli; Lactobacillales; Lactobacillaceae.